AGGCUUAACACAUGCAAGUCGAGCGCCCCGCAAGGGGAGCGGCAGACGGGUGAGUAACGCGUGGGAAUCUACCCUUUACUACGGAAUAACGCAGGGAAACUUGUGCUAAUACCGUAUGUGUCCUUCGGGAGAAAGAUUUAUCGGUAAAGGAUGAGCCCGCGUUGGAUUAGCUAGUUGGUGGGGUAAAGGCCUACCAAGGCGACGAUCCAUAGCUGGUCUGAGAGGA
Molecule: ribosomal RNA, 226 nt
Filed under: Rhizobium sp. Br8802
Lineage: Bacteria; Pseudomonadati; Pseudomonadota; Alphaproteobacteria; Hyphomicrobiales; Rhizobiaceae
Description: partial 16S ribosomal RNA
Rfam family: Bacterial small subunit ribosomal RNA
Source: RNAcentral